Molecule: ribosomal RNA, 305 nt
Filed under: uncultured bacterium
Lineage: Bacteria
Description: partial 16S ribosomal RNA
Rfam family: Bacterial small subunit ribosomal RNA
Source: RNAcentral
ACAGCAGCCGCCGCGGUAAUACGUAUGUCACAAGCGUUACCCGGAUUUAUUGGGCGUAAAGCGCGUCUAGGUGGUUAUGUAAGUCUGAUGUGAAAAUGCAGGGCUCAACUCUGUAUUGCGUUGGAAACUGUGUAACUAGAGUACUGGAGAGGUAAGCGGAACUACAAGUGUAGAGGUGAAAUUCGUAGAUAUUUGUAGGAAUGCCGAUGGGGAAGCCAGCUUACUGGACAGAUACUGACGCUAAAGCGCGAAAGCGUGGGUAGCAAACAGGAUUAGAUACCCCUGUAGUCCCUGUCUCUUAUACA